This 65-nucleotide transfer RNA is filed under the name Leptestheria brevirostris. Its description in RNAcentral is "tRNA-Thr". It matches the Rfam family "tRNA". From Rfam's summary of the family: Transfer RNA (tRNA) molecules are approximately 80 nucleotides in length. Their secondary structure includes four short double-helical elements and three loops (D, anti-codon, and T loops). Lineage: Eukaryota; Metazoa; Arthropoda; Branchiopoda; Diplostraca; Leptestheriidae. The record is from RNAcentral.
GCUUUUUUAGUAUAACGAGAACGCUGGCCUUGUAAGCCAGAAGUGAACCCGGGGUUCAUAAAGCA